UUAAAAUUGUGUUUAUUUAUGUUCUGAGUUUGUUAGUGAUUGGUAAGUGACUGCGCGUGGGAUUAUUUAUUUAUUCUCCACAGGAACAUGCAGCUUUGUGGUGUGCUGAGCGACAACGUGGGAGUGGAGUGACCUGAAAGUGGAAACAGGUGGGAUAACUGCUGGGAGAAGAGAAGGAUGGAGAGCAGCUGAGACACCAAGAGGAGAGAGGAGGAAAGAACCGAUCAUGAAGGA
This 234-nucleotide long non-coding RNA is filed under the name Scophthalmus maximus (turbot). RNAcentral's name for it is "lncRNA (ENSSMAG00000035638.1)". The record is from RNAcentral. Lineage: Eukaryota; Metazoa; Chordata; Actinopteri; Pleuronectiformes; Scophthalmidae.